AUACGUAGGUGGCGAGCGUUGUCCGGAAUUACUGGGCGUAAAGGGUGCGUAGGCGGACCAUCAAGUCAGAUGUGAAAGUCCAUGGCUUAACUGUGGGAGUGCAUUUGAGACUGAUGAUCUAGAGUGCAGGAGAGGGAAGCGGAAUUCCUAGUGUAGCGGUGAAAUGCGUAGAUAUUAGGAAGAACACCAGUGGCGAAGGCGGCUUUCUGGACUGUAACUGACGCUGAAGCACGAAAGCGUGGGGAGCAAACAGGAUUAGAUACCCCGGUAGUCCACGCUGUAAACGAUGAGUAUUAGGUGUAGGGGACGAUAGUCUUCUGUGCCGGAGCAAACGCAAUAAAUACUCCGCCUGGGGAGUACGGUCACAAGACUAAA
This 375-nucleotide ribosomal RNA is filed under the name uncultured bacterium. Its description in RNAcentral is "bacterial SSU rRNA". It matches the Rfam family "Bacterial small subunit ribosomal RNA", at positions 523 to 898 of the family's 1533-position model. The record is from RNAcentral.